This 73-nucleotide transfer RNA is filed under the name Saccharomyces cerevisiae (brewer's yeast). It matches the Rfam family "tRNA". From Rfam's summary of the family: Transfer RNA (tRNA) molecules are approximately 80 nucleotides in length. Their secondary structure includes four short double-helical elements and three loops (D, anti-codon, and T loops). Lineage: Eukaryota; Fungi; Ascomycota; Saccharomycetes; Saccharomycetales; Saccharomycetaceae. The record is from RNAcentral.
GGGCGUGUGGCGUAGUCGGUAGCGCGCUCCCUUGGCAUGGGAGAGGUCUCCGGUUCGAUUCCGGACUCGUCCA